This is a long non-coding RNA of Cimex lectularius (bed bug), 841 nucleotides long. RefSeq lists it as uncharacterized. NCBI's taxonomy places the organism in Eukaryota, Metazoa, Arthropoda, Insecta, Hemiptera, Cimicidae. The transcript is spliced from 3 exons. The record is from RefSeq and is a predicted model, not a curated record.
AAUCAGAACAUGUGUUGAAAAAUAGCCUCCUAGUUUGAUGGUUUUCUAAAAUAUUUAUUAAAAAUAAAAGAAAAGAAAAGAAAUCUUAUCCGGAAUGCGUAACAAUUCUUGUCUUACAAUCGUUAUCUGUGGUGCUAUGUUAUUCCUGAUCGUCACAGCUGUCGUGACCAUCCUAUUUUCCGAAAUGUUAGGCGAAAGAGGCAACUACAUUGAUGCCAUACCCGUUUUUUAUUUGAUUUUCUCAAAAGAUCUGCUUUGAAACGGGAAAACAGGUGUAUUCUUUAUAUUCACAACUGUUCAAGUUUGGAUUCUUUAAUGUUCCGAGUUUGAAAAUAUGUCGGUAAGAAAUGGAAGAAGCAAGAAGGAAGUCUUCGGGGGUGGAGAAGCCGAGGUCCUCUACGUCGCACCCUAGGUCGGUAAAGUCCGAACAUUCCGACGAUUCCAUAUUAACCUACACGUCGCAGAGGUUCGAUUUUGAAGCACAAAUUUAAAUUUCGAAAACUAAGCCGUCCUCGAUUUUCAGCGAACAGCCCAGACUAUCGCAUAGGAUGAAAAAGUACAAGCCAUACCUGUUUGGACUCGGCGCAAUCACUGGAUUGCUUUUGAUUUUCAUAACCUUGAAGAUGUUAAUGGACAAACAAGCACCACGUCAUCACUAACAUGAAUUUCUCUUCAGAAACGAUUUAUCGCCACACGUCCACCAUUUCUUGACAGAAGCGCGUUUAUUUGCCUCCGGGGGCUCGAGUGGAUGCAGGAUAGACAAUGAACGCUCGUUUAUUCUCAGCACACCGGGUCGCUCAUUAAAGAUAGGUUUUUUCAUGUGUUUUUUUAAACAACUGUA